This is a long non-coding RNA of Notolabrus celidotus (New Zealand spotty), 856 nucleotides long. RefSeq lists it as uncharacterized. The transcript is spliced from 3 exons. The record is from RefSeq and is a predicted model, not a curated record. NCBI's taxonomy places the organism in Eukaryota, Metazoa, Chordata, Actinopteri, Labriformes, Labridae.
GAAACGUCUUCCACCUCUGCAUCUGAAACCUGCUGUCUGUCAGCAAACACUGCACUCUGCUGCCACUUAGAGGUCAUGGCUGCAGGCUCAUUUAAUCCCAGUUUCAAGCAGGGUCGACAGGGGCAGGGGCAUUCUUGUGCCGUCUCAUUCUGCAACAGUUCCUGCCAGGAUGUCCAAAGAGACGACAUGAAUCUUGAGUUUGUCCUCCAAAGAUUUGACAGUAAAUGUAGGAAAGACGGAGACGAGCUCAGACUUCAACAAACAUCUCUCCAGGACCAACCCAGAAGGCUGGGAGCUGUAGAGAUCAGUCCUGCUGAGCGACAUGUCAAACAGCGGGUUAUUCUGAGUGAACGAGACCCGAUCGUUCAUAUGGUCCACUGCUGUCGCCAUGCUUUGCAGAGUCCAGUAUCACCUCUACUUCCUGUUCAGGAUCUUUUAUAUCACGCCGAGGCAGGGCAUGAUGUUUAGAAACUCAAUCAGAAACUCUGAUUGCAACAGAGCAUACGCAGGUCAAAAAAAUCACAUGGACUUUUAUUACAGCGAGGGAGGAACUGUAUGAGAUUUGUAGCUGAGGCGGCUAAAACCCAGCAGCAGCAGGGCCGUUUGUAGAAAGAGGAAGUUUCCAAAGAGGCUUGCAAAACAGAGAAAAUUGUUUCAAAUAAAGACGGACUUUUUGUCAGUUGCUGAUAUUGAUUUGUGAAAUGAUUAUGGACAUGUUUCAUCACAAGGUCUGUUGGUUAAACUUGUGCCAGAGCUACCCCAUGUAACAGCCCACAGAGGAGGGAGAGAUGCUGUUACUGGGUUUGAGCAAUUAGAAGCAUUCUACUGUAUUCUGUUCCAUUCCAUUCUGCUUUGA